ACAAACUUGGUCAUUUAGAGGAAGUAAAAGUCGUAACAAGGUUUCCGUAGGUGAACCUGCGGAAGGAUCAUUAAAGGUUUAGGGUACUCAGUGCCCAAACUUCUACCCUAUGUUUUGCUAAACUGUUUCUUUGCCGGUCUCGGCCGGCAGAAGACCUCUCAAACUCAUUUAAUCUGUUCUGAAUACGAUAAAAAAUCGUUAAAACUUUCAACAACGGAUCUCUUGGUUCUGGCAUCGAUGAAGAACGCAGC
RNAcentral lists this unclassified non-coding RNA (251 nucleotides) under uncultured fungus. Its description in RNAcentral is "partial contains small subunit ribosomal RNA, internal transcribed spacer 1, and 5.8S ribosomal RNA". The stretch from base 1 to 73 matches the Rfam family "Eukaryotic small subunit ribosomal RNA", at positions 1759 to 1831 of the family's 1831-position model. The record is from RNAcentral. Lineage: Eukaryota; Fungi.